Molecule: ribosomal RNA, 942 nt
Filed under: uncultured bacterium
Lineage: Bacteria
Description: bacterial SSU rRNA
Rfam family: Bacterial small subunit ribosomal RNA
Source: RNAcentral
UUACACAUGCAGUCGAGGGGCAGCGGGGUGUAGCAAUACACUGCCGGCGACCGGCGCACGGGUGCGUAACGCGUAUGCAACCUACCCAUAACAGGGGCAUAACACUGAGAAAUUGGUACUAAUUCCCCAUAACAUUCGAAGAGGCAUCUCUUUGGGUUGAAAACUCCGGUGGUUAUGGAUGGGCAUGCGUUGUAUUAGCUAGUUGGUGGGGUAACGGCUCACCAAGGCGACGAUACAUAGGGGGACUGAGAGGUUAACCCCCCACAUUGGUACUGAGACACGGACCAAACUCCUACGGGAGGCAGCAGUGAGGAAUAUUGGUCAAUGGACGCAAGUCUGAACCAGCCAUGCCGCGUGCAGGAUGACGGCUCUAUGAGUUGUAAACUGCUUUUGUACGAGGGUAAACUCACCUACGUGUAGGUGACUGAAAGUAUCGUACGAAUAAGGAUCGGCUAACUCCGUGCCAGCAGCCGCGGUAAUACGGAGGAUUCAAGCGUUAUCCGGAUUUAUUGGGUUUAAAGGGUGCGUAGGCGGUUAGAUAAGUUAGAGGUGAAAUCCCGGGGCUUAACUCCGAAAUUGCCUCUAAUACUGUUUGACUAGAGAGUAGUUGCGGUAGGCGGAAUGUAUGGUGUAGCGGUGAAAUGCUUAGAGAUCAUACAGAACACCGAUUGCGAAGACAGCUUACCAAACUAUAUCUGACGUUGAGGCACGAAAGCGUGGGGAGCAAACAGGAUUAGAUACCCUGGUAGUCCACGCAGUAAACGAUGAUAACUCGCUGUCGGCGAUACACAGUCGGUGGCUAAGCGAAAGCGAUAAGUUAUCCACCUGGGGAGUACGUUCGCAAGAAUGAAACUCAAAGGAAUUGACGGGGGCCCGCACAAGCGGAGGAACAUGUGGUUUAAUUCGAUGAUACGCGAGGAACCUUACCCGGGCUUGAAAGUU